AGUGAACGCUGGCGGUAGGCCAAACCCUUCCAGUUGGACCGCCGCAACGUAAAGAGUUGCCCUUUAGGGUGGGGGGUGGCGGGACGGGGGAGGAAUAAUCGGGAUCUUCUUUUUUGUGGGGGGUUAACUAAGGAAAACUACGGUUAUUACCCCUUAGGACUACCGGUGAAAGCCAGGGGUUUUUCGAACUUGCCCCGAUGGAUGAGGCCGAUGUCGGAUUAGCUAGUUGGCGGGGUAAAGGCCCACCAAGGCGACGAUCCGUAGCUGGUCUGAGAGGAUGAUCAGCCACACUGGAACUGAGACACGGUCCAGACUCCUACGGGAGGCAGCAGUGGGGAAUAUUGGACAAUGGGCGCAAGCCUGAUCCAGCCAUACCGCGUGGGUGAAGAAGGCCUUCGGGUUGUAAAGCCCUUUUGUUGGGAAAGAAAAGCAGCAGGUUAAUACCCCGCUGUUCUGACGGUACCCAAAGAAUAAGCACCGGCUAACUUCGUG
This 492-nucleotide ribosomal RNA is filed under the name uncultured bacterium. RNAcentral describes it as "partial 16S ribosomal RNA". It matches the Rfam family "Bacterial small subunit ribosomal RNA", at positions 29 to 507 of the family's 1533-position model. The record is from RNAcentral.